AUGGCUUCCAGCUCCAACAACUCCCCAUCAUUCAAGAUCAUACUCGGGUCGUCGUCCCCAACGCGCCGCGCGAUUCUGUCAGACAUGGGAUACCAGUUCGCCACCAUGAGCGCUGACAUCGACGAGAGGGCCAUCAGGAGGGAGAAGCCAGAGGAGCUGGUCAAGGCCUUGGCCGAAGCCAAGGCCGACGCCAUUAAACUGAAUCUUGUUGACGGCUGCGGUGAUGGAGACAGCAGAGAUCGGCCUACCCUUCUGAUCACCUCAGACCAGGUCAUGGUGAGCAAGGGGGCGAUCAGGGAGAGGCCGAGGAGCACGGAAGAAGCCAGAGAAUUCAUCAAGGGGUACUCGGGCGAUCGAGCGUUUGCGGUGAACUAUGUUCUGGUGACCAACCUGAGCACCGGAGGCAGGAAGGGGGGCUGGGAUAUACCCGAGAUCUGUUUCCACCACAUACCGCACGAGUUCAUCGAGGAAAUCGUGAAGGAGGGAGACAUGACGUGCGUGGCCGGGGGGCUCAAGCUGACGCAUCCAUCGGUGCUGCCUUUCAUCAGGGAACUAGUCGGUACGGCAGACAGUGUCCGAGGGCUUCCGAGGGAGCUCACGGAGAAGCUCAUCCGAGAAUCGCUGGAAGCCACAUCCUAG
This 639-nucleotide ribosomal RNA is filed under the name Triticum aestivum (bread wheat). RNAcentral describes it as "partial small subunit ribosomal RNA". Lineage: Eukaryota; Viridiplantae; Streptophyta; Magnoliopsida; Poales; Poaceae. The record is from RNAcentral.